AAGAGAGGCUUGCUAGCAACGGAGACUGCUAAUUUCCGACACCUCAGUUAAAUUCUGAGGCUCACUUG
RNAcentral lists this transfer RNA (68 nucleotides) under Blenniella gibbifrons (hump-headed blenny). RNAcentral describes it as "tRNA-Ser". The record is from RNAcentral. Lineage: Eukaryota; Metazoa; Chordata; Actinopteri; Blenniiformes; Blenniidae.